RNAcentral lists this ribosomal RNA (245 nucleotides) under uncultured bacterium. Its description in RNAcentral is "partial 16S ribosomal RNA". It matches the Rfam family "Bacterial small subunit ribosomal RNA", at positions 524 to 768 of the family's 1533-position model. The record is from RNAcentral.
UACAGAGACUGCAAGCGUUGUUCGGAUUCAUUGGGCGUAAAGGGUGCGCAGGCGGUCCGGUUAGUCGGAUGUGAAAUCUCGAGGCCUAACCUCGAUGGGUCAUUCGAAACUACCGGGCUAGAGGACUGGAGAGGAGACUGGAAUGGUUGGUGUAGCAGUGAAAUGCGUAGAGAUCAACCAGAACACCAGUAGCGAAGGCGGGUCUCUGGACAGUUCCUGACGCUCAGGCACGAAAGCCAGGGGAG